This 73-nucleotide antisense RNA is filed under the name Plasticicumulans acidivorans. RNAcentral describes it as "gamma proteobacterium TUD-JY37 Plasmid transferred anti-sense RNA". It matches the Rfam family "Plasmid transferred anti-sense RNA". The record is from Rfam by way of RNAcentral. Lineage: Bacteria; Pseudomonadati; Pseudomonadota; Gammaproteobacteria; Candidatus Competibacteraceae.
UUGCCAUAAUUCACCUCUCUAGCAGGUGGGAUGUGGAAGUGUCGGCCGGCCUGCAACGCCGGCCGAUGCGCCU